CUAGGGGUCCCCAGACCCCCAGAGAGGUGGCCUGAAGAGGGUGCCCUGUCAGGCUGAGGCACUCUAGGCUCUGGCUUGGGGGUGAGCGGGUGGCCCAGGAGCUGCCACCUGGGCUCCAGGUGUGUCUUUUGAGUCUGUGCUGUUCGCUGGUCAGAAAAGCUCGAACCAUCUAAGUGCUGCGCUCUCUCUUCACCCGCCCGGUCCCUGCGCACUGCAGAGCGGCGCGAGGUUAAGGGAGACCAGGGGCCGCGAUCGCCCACUUCACCCCUGCCCCCAAUUAUCAAAAUCUGCCUCUUGGGCUCAGCUCUCAACAUGGGCGCCCCUGGUUCCUAAGAAACCCCAUUCUCCCUCGGCCCUAGUCCUGACCCAGCAAAGAGUUGGGCAGUGCCCGCUCUGCACCUCUUUCCUCCACAGGGGUUUCCAGAGCCCCCCAGGAGGCGGUGCCUAUACCACUGACCUCAGCCCAGGGCACCCAUCCAAGCAGGAGAGGCACAUAAGACCUCCCUUCCCCAGGAUUCCGGGGGUCCAGAACCCCCCAAGCACCAGCAUUCUCCCCCUCCCAUCAACUCCGGGCCACAGGCCCCUGGUGGGAAGGGAGGGACCGGGUGACCCGGAGCUGGCCGCUGUGGCCUCCCCAUGCGGGCAGCAUGGCCUCGGUGGCCAGUGUGGUGUCCAGAAGAUGCAUGGUCAGUUGGGGCUUGUCCCCUCUGUGGUGACAGAGGACGCCACGGAGCUCAGGAGAGGAGGCUGUGGGGGGGAUAGGAAGGGCCAGGCCCCUACCCCAAGCCAGCGGUACCAUUUGCCUGAUAAUCAAAGAUGAACCUGCCCACCCACCUCCUGCCCCUUCUGGCCACACUUCCCAGCCACCCUGGGCCACCUUUCUGGGCCUCUGGAUCUGGAUGUGGGCACAAGCAGGGCCCUUCCCAGCCCCAGCUAAGAGAGGGGACCUUGGGGACCUUCCAGGUGGUAGCGCUACGGCUCUGGGCCAGGAAUUUUUGACGCUUCUUCCUGAGGGAAAAUUGUGGCAGGGCGGCGGGUAGGAAGGAAGCACCCCCAGUGUAUGUGUCUGUGGCCAGUGCAGGCCAUGGCUGGGGAGCAGCCCCCCGGGCACUGCCGUCACGGCCGCCGAGAAGCAGAGUCAGUGGUUGGCUUGGCAGACAGAGCUUGGGGGAGGACGACGGGGUCUCCCAGUGGUGGAAAGACAGGGGCUUGGGCUCUUCAGGUUUCCUGGGUACUGUGCUGAGGCAGGGGCUAGGCCUGGAGGGGGCAGUGGCCCUCUAUUCAAGGAGGCCGCCUGGGAAGGGAGCCACCAAGAUGGCGCAUGUUGGUCAACCAAGAUGGCAGACGGUGGUCAGCCCAGCAGAGGGUGGGCUUGGGAAGAGUGGACGGGACUUGUGAGGGGAGAUGAGCCCUGGUAUAGCUAGAUACCUUUUCUCACACGCCAGCUCUUUUCCAUUCUUUCAUUUUCAAAUUAGAGGCAGCAAAAGGACCCUUUUCCAUUGACCGAGGGAGAGAGAAAGCUGCGGGGUGGGCUAUGGCCUUCAGCUUUGAAACCCACGCCCUCCUGGGACGCCUACUUUCUUGGGACGGAAGGCUGGGAGCUGUUGGCCGAGGCAGCCUGCUGUCCUUGGGGCUGAGGGCACCAGGAGUGGCCUGGAGUACAGGUAGAAGCCUGCGGGCGGCCUGGCCCCUGCUUUCGUGGGCAGCCUGGUGGGGAGGGAGCUCGUGGCUCUCGGUUCUCGGUGCGGGGGGCUGUGAACGCGGCAAGUGCUGGGCGUCAGAGCAGUGUUCUGAGCAGGACCACACGUGUGUGUAUACGCACACGUGAGUGUGCGCUGUGACACGCACUGUAGUGUGGACUCGAGCACACACGUGCAGAGCCCAGAUCCGAGUGGAGGGACUGGCUCGUCCAGUAUUUCGAGGCCUGGGUACGUUCUUACCCCAGGGCCACAUGUAGAGUUGAAGGGGUGCGGGCAGCAAACCUCGAACGCAAGGCAACCCCACCCCCCUUGACUUUGCUAAAACUGCUCUGCGGACAGACGGGGCAGAGGUGUCCCUGCAGGGGCUGUGCUCUGCCCUGCAGAGGCCCGGAGGUCCUUGCAGCCAAGGGCUAGACCUGCUGGGCGGACUCCUCAGAAGCAGCCAAUCCUGAAGACAGUAUUUACAGGGAGGGGUUCUGGGGGCUGGUGCCCCUUUGCCUACUGGGGCUCGUCCAUGCAGAGCAUCCAACAAAGUUGGAAACCGGAAUGGAGGGCCGGUGGGGUGGGUGAAAAACAGGCCAAAUUCAGGUCCCAAGGCAGAGGCCAAGCCCAGUGCAUUUUCCUGUCCACUGCUUCAGUUUACCUGUUCAGAAAAUGGUCCAGGAAGAGCUGGGCAGGGUUGGCUCCAAAACUGGGGGUGGGGAGGUGUAACAGCAAACAAAACCCCGAGCCCUCCACUUGCUCUUUGCCAAAUCAUUUCCGUUAUCCUGAGAUGGGGGUGAGUGGAUGCUGGCUGCACAGCAGGGCUCAGAGGGGCCUCUGCCCUGCCCAGGGUUUCGCCUUGGGGGUCUGGCCCUCCCCUGGCAUACGCCCCGGGUCACCAGCAGUAGCAGCGGCACAUGCAUCUGUCCCAAGGUCUGGGCGAGGGGAGAACAGGGCAGCCCCGUACCCCAGGCCCUCACACUUUCUUUCUUUCUUGAAAAAACACAAAACCCUUGAGAUUCAUGUACUGUAUGACAGAGAGAAAAAAAGUACCUAAUGUUCCCCCCAAAAAAGACAGUAUAUUUUGUACUUUGUAAAGUGUUCAUUAAAAUGGAAGAAAAAAAUGAUGUUGGCUGACGGCUGUCUGAUUUUGUGCUGAUCCAGGGCUAUGUCUCAUCUCUCUCCCUUCUCAUACCGUGGGUGGGGGAACAUUAGGCCAGGAGCUGGGAGGAGCCAAAGCAAGAAUCCGAGAGAGGAAAUAAAUAGCCCUGAGAACGCGAGGGGCUGUAUUAGUUACCCAGUGCUGCAUAACAAGUGGCCCCAAAAUGUAAGGCUUAAAAUGAUUAUUUGUGUGUCCUGGUUUUGGUGGGUUAGGAAUUUGGGAGCCGUGUGAGCAGCUUGGGCUCAGAGUCUCUCAAGAGGCUGCAGGCAUCUGAAGCUCGGCUGGGGCUAGAGGGUCUAUUUCCAAGGUGCUUAAUCCACAUGACUGGCGAGGUGGGCCUGGCUGUCAGCAGGAAGCCUGUUCCUCUCCACGUGGGUCUCUGCUGCUUGAGUGUCCUCGUCAUAUGGCGCCUGGCUUCCCCUAGAGCAAGGGAUUCAAGGACCGAGGUAGGACCUAAAAAAAAAAAAAAGUUUUUCUUCUAGCUUCAGAAUUCACGUUCCGUCAUCUCCAUCAUGUUCUAUCGUCAUGCAGCCCAGCUCUGAUUUGACCGUGGAGGAGACCACACAGGGGUGUGAAAACCAAAAGGUCAAGGUAACCUUGGGGGCCACUUUGGAAACUGGCUUCUACACUCACCAUUCCUCCCCAAAUCUGUGGCAGAGGUGGGCCUGGGGGACCGGGGUCCCCUGGAGCAGGAUAGGACCUUGGUGGUGGCAGGGGAAGGAUCAGGGGCUGGAACCCUGCUGUGAAUGUCACACCCCCAGGAAAGGUUUCUUGGUGCUGGAAGCCCAGGAGCUGAUGCCUCCAGAUAAGACACCCUGGGGGCAGGAGGGGAGGGCACGGUGCUUGGCGUCCCUCCCACAGGCGCUCUGGGGUUGAGCUCCUGCCCCCUUGGCAGGUGGAUGCUGGAAAUGCCCAGGCAAGAAAGAGGCCUGAGACCAGCAGGUCCUGGACCUUGGAUGCCCUUCACCCUGCCCCUCUUUGAUGUUUUCCAUGGAGGGCAGGUGUGAGCAGGGCAGGGUUCUGCCUACAUUGGGCCCCACCAUCCCCUCACCCCUGCCUCACAGAAGCAGCAGCCCUGGAGAUGGAAGGGAGGGAAGAUGGGAGCUAAAGCACUCACUCACCACCCCGAGUCCAGGAAAUUCUGGCUGCUGUGAAGGCUUGCCUUUCUGGGGUUUGCAACCCUUCACAUAUCGCACUGGAGCCACAACAUGGGUGGGCACUCUUGAUUGCCCAAAACAGUAGCAAAGCCCUCCUUUUCCCACCACUCACUCAUGUUCACUGUCUCUAGGAUGGUGCCAGACCUUGUGCCCGGGACUGGAGACCCAGAUGACGCUGCUGUGGCCCCUGCGCCUGAGUUGCUCCAGGAGGUGUAAAGAUGUGAAAACAGGCUCUCCCAGGGAUUGCAGUGCCAGGCUCCACCACAAGGGGAUGCUGUGCCCUGGGGCCAUGACCACUGUCCGGCAGUAGGAGGAACAAGAAGCCAGGACGUUAGGGUUGAGCUUGGUAAGCUUAGCAGGGGGACCCAAACAGAGGGAACAGCAAAGGCGCAGAGGGCCUAGAGGGGAGCGUAGCUGGAAUGGAGAAGCAAAGUGGGAGAGGGAGGAAAUGGACGGGGCUGGUAGAAAUGAGGCUGAAAUGCAAGGUGGGUUCUCAGGCCAGCUGGGGGCCUCACAGUCUGCUACAGACCAUGGGGAGCGACGGAGGACUUCAUGCAGGAGACCAAACGUAGCAUCUGAAUGGUGAGUCUGGGUUAUUGAACAUGCCUGAUAGAAGGAGGAAAGGGGGCAGCCAGGAUCCUGGCCUCAUUUCUCAGGAGAGAUGGCCCUGGCCAACUCAAGGGCCUUCGCAGUGCAGUCAGGAAUGGCGGGUGGCAUCACAGAUGUAGAGGACUGGCUGGCAUCCCACCUUCCGAACCAUGCAUGUGCCCUUCCCCCAGCCAGGGCAUAAUUCCUCGUGGGAGCAGCUUUGGCUGCAUCUUGGCAGGGUUCUUACCCCAGCACAUUGGACUCCCCUGGAGAGUGGGGAGAGUUACCUGUGCCAGGACUCUACCCCAAAGAGUCUGAUUCAACUCAUCUUGGCUUCAGUAUAGUUUUUAAAGCUCCCCAACCCGCUCUUAAAAAGUAAUAAAAAGGGGACUUCCCUGGCAGUCCAGUGGUUAAAGACCCCAUGCUUCCAAUUCAGGGAUGCAGGGGGUGAGGGUUCGAUACCUGGUCAGGGAACUAAGAUUCCACAUGCUGUGUGGUGUGGCAAAAAAUAAUAAAAGUUUUUUAAAGAGUAAUACAAGGAAUGCAGGGCCACAGAAGGAAAGAGCACACUCUGUAGUCACUUUGCCUCCCCUUGGUUUUUAUUCAGCUGGUGGGGAAGCAGGGGCUCACGAUGGUGAACACUAGCUCUCCAAAGGGAGUGUGGAAUGAGAUCGUGGUGACGGUUGCACCACACAGAUAAUAGGCUAAAAGCACUGAAUUGCACACUUUAAAAUGGUUUUACGGUAUGUGACUCACAUCUCAAUUUUUUUUAAAAAAAUGAAUGUGGUAGAGAAGGCAAGAGGUGUGAAUGCACAGCAGGAAGGACGGCCAAGAAAAUGUGAGUUAGUCUAACAUCCCCUGAUGGUUAAAGAAAGUUCCUGUAAACACAGUGGAGGGCAGCAUAAAGGGGUAGAAAGACCACAGAGGUCUUUCCCUUGCAAAAGCUGGUCUUGGAGCCUCUCGUUGGAGAUGUUUCCCAGGAGCUGUCCACCUCAGCUGGACCAGCGGGAAGCUCUGGCAGCCAUCAGCUGGACCGCAGCCCAUCUCCCCACACUAAUGAGCACCGGGCACUGAGAGGGUCCUGAGUAGAGAGAGCUGAGGGGAAGUGAGCAGAGACGCCCUAACAGGCCUGUAGGCAGCAGCUCAAGUUGUAUUCCGGGAAGUAGAUAAUCAGUGUCUAGGAACUCAGUGUUACAGUGUGUUGUGGAUUCCACAAUACAGGUGUCAAAACUUAAAAAUUUAAAUGAAGGACCCAGCAAUCCCAAUCCGAGGUCUCUACCCAAGAAAACUGAAAACAUACUCACCCAAAAAUUUGUAUGGGAAUGUUCCCAAAAAAUCAAACUCUGGGCUAAUGUAACAUGUGUACAUGAACAUUUUGGCAUUAGCCACAAUAGCCCAAAAGUGGAGCCAACGCAAAUAUCCAUCAACUGAUGAAUGAAUAAACAAAAUGUUUAUCAGGAACAAAACAGAAACAUCCCCAGAUGAUUCUGUUACACAGGCGAGGUUGAGAGGGCCAGGGUUAAGGGGCAGAAGCUGCCUAAAGGAAUCCCAGAGUCCCCAUGGAGAACACCGCCUCCUUCGGCUGCUCUGUGGGGCAGUGGCCUCAUCCUGCUUUCCUCCAUUCUGAGGCCAGAGUGAUCAGGGGCAGUCAGCCCCAGUGCACCUGCAAGGAUGAUGCAUCCUUAUGGCCGCACCCCAAACACUGGCAGGUCCUGGCAUAUGGAGGGUGCUCCGGAGAACGUACCCCAUCAGCCUCUGCUUCUUCAACGUUCCCCCACUGGAAUGAAGGUCAACUGCAGCUAUGGGACAGCUUACGGGCAUUUUCUGACGGGCAUGGCUUCAUGUCCUCUACUCUCUGGUCUCCUGGCACUUGUGCUGCCACCAGGCUACCAGAGCGAUGGCAAGACUAAGCUACUCUACCCUCCAGCCCCGUGGGCCAGCCCCGCCCCCACCAGCUACAUCUCACCUGUUUGCCUCCUUGGCAAGACAGUGGACUCCUGGUUUGAGGAGAGCUUCUAGACGCAGAAAGCCAGUGCAAGUGUAGUGUCUUCUUCGGGGGCAAUUUCUAAGACAGAGCACCUGCACCACCUCCCCCUCAGCCCUGCCAGGACGCCGAUGCUGCUCUUCUGACCGGAUCCGAAUCCUGCCGUCCCUCCCCCGGGGCAGCGCUCAGCGGGGCAGCGUGACAGCUGCAGAGGGAUCUGUAACAGCCUGCGGAGUUUACUGAGCUUCAGAGGGAAAGGCCUCGUCCAGAUGGCCUGCCCUAAAAGCCCAGAGGCAGCAACAUCAACCGUUCAGAGACAAGUCCAUUAGGGUCUCCCGGCCACAAGGCAAACGGAUGCUAGCAACCAAGUCGUGCUACUCACCCGUCCCUAAACAAACGCCUUCAGCAAAACCUGUUACAGAAAUCACUGAACAAACAUGCGGCGGUGCCCUCAGCUCAUCGCAAAGGCCCAGAGCUGCAGAAAGCGUUCCAGGCUGGCCACAGAAGCAGAAGAAAACAUGCUGCCUGGGGUGACCAGGCCAGGUGAGCUCCUAGCAACCUCCCCGGGCCACGAGAGCACCUUUAUUGACCUUCCCCAGGAAAGGGCCGCUCUCCGCGCUGACCUGCGGCCGAGCUGUCACACUGGGGCACCUCCGUCCUUGUUCCCCAAGGGCUGUGACCGUCAGAACCCAAAGCAGAGGGAGCCACCUCACCUUGGCUGACUUGCCGGGACGAUGGUCACGGCUGCCGCUGGCCCCAGGAGCCUCUCUGGGGAGCAGCAGGUGGCUCCCGGGGCCCCAGCUCCCCCCGGCCAACUGCCUCUCACUGUCAGCCUCUGAACUGAGUCCAAGAGAAGGCUGCCCUCAGCCACGUUUUAUUUGUGGCCUCAUCAGGGUUAAAAGGAGUUUCUAUUCUAAACCAAUUUAUACUCAAAUUGUUGCAAAGGCAAACAGUUCCAGAAAACGAACCAUAUUUGGCCUGAGUGACUCUGAAAAGUUUGAGCAGAAUCAGUGUAGGAACAGCUCUCUGCACGAGGACAAGUUCCCAAGACACACACCCACCAGGUGAAGGGCAGAGGAAGGCAGAGAGGAGCGCUGGACCAGCUGUGAUCCGGCCACCAGACUUGCCGUGUCCCCACUCGGCUGUACCCGGGAUGCCCUGACCCGCGCCCAGAAGCCAGGCCACACCAGGGAGGGGAGCCGGCUCAGCCUGCGAGGAGGCCCAGCCCCUGCGGCGUGCCCUCCCCUGGGGCGUCAGAACUGCCGGGGCCUGUGGCUCCUGAAGCAGCCAGGUAAGAAAGAGGCCCAGGAAGCAGAGGGUUCCCAGCUUGUGCUCCAACCCAAGCCCCACCAGAGAGGCGCACGGCGAGGGGGAAGCGUAGUCUGCGCUCAGAGCACCGAGGUCACGUCGCAGCCCACCCACUGCGCGGCUGAGAGACUGGGCCAGCGGCUUCAAAUCCUGAGCAACAACAGAACAGACUGGAGAAAGGUCCAACUACCCAACAAGAGACUAACCUUUAAGGAAUCCAACCUAGUUGAUUGAAAACCUGGUUCCUGUCACCACCACCCUCCCAGAGCCCCAGCCUCGCAUCUUGGAGCCGGCAUGGACCUCAGCACCACGCUCCCAACCCCGACCAAAAGGUGACACGGGGGGCGAAGGAGCUCUACAGACACACAAGGGGAGACAAUGGUGUGGGGCAUGAAAGCAGCCGUCACAGGAACAGACCUGAGUGACCUUUCCCUGAUGGCAUGGAGGCCGGGAACAACACUUCAGAGGGACGUUCGGCGCAGGGGUCCGGCUUGAACAACGGGGCAUCCACCCCCAGGCCUGGCACUCCACCACAGAGGCCAAGCCUGGCCCGGCCACUUGGACAACGAAAACGCUCUCAAACCUGAUUUCACAGCUGAUCUUCGCUCUAAUUGGGAGGACACGAGGCAGAGAAAGCACCGGAGUCAGGGCCUGCCGAGCUCAGGGGAGCCAGCAGCCAGGGGGAGCUGAGAGAAAGAGCCCCUAAAACACCACAUCCUCUCCACUGGCCUCUGUAAACAGCUCCUGGCACGUCAACUUCUUCAUCUCAACCCUCUCCCUCUCGGAGCCCCGAGGCACCCGGCCUGCAGCUCGCUCGUCCCUGAGGCACCCGUGUGCCCGAGGCCAGCCUCCAAGGAGGCUUCUUACAGGCACCACAGGGACUGGAAGCCCGGGGACCCUGUGCCGGCCGGGCUGCUGCAUCAGCUUUCUUUCCAGGCUCCAAUGAGAUUGCCAAGAACUCGGCCCCUUGAAGAGGCAGCCGUAGCACAGCCCCAGGCUGCAGAGGACCUCGUGGGGUCUUACCUGUGUGGAGUCCGUGACAGAGGCCAGCUGCAGGUACUCAGAGUUCCCCCACCCGAAGAGGCUGCCAUCGACCGACACAGCCAG
Molecule: long non-coding RNA, 8988 nt
Organism: Aethalodelphis obliquidens (Pacific white-sided dolphin)
Lineage: Eukaryota; Metazoa; Chordata; Mammalia; Artiodactyla; Delphinidae
Exons: 8
Source: RefSeq, a predicted model, not a curated record